Molecule: small nucleolar RNA, 130 nt
Organism: Arvicola amphibius (Eurasian water vole)
Lineage: Eukaryota; Metazoa; Chordata; Mammalia; Rodentia; Cricetidae
Product: small nucleolar RNA SNORA28
Exons: 1
Source: RefSeq, a predicted model, not a curated record
AAGCAACACUCUGUGGCAGAUGAACAAUAAAUACUGUCUGACACAAUUUGAGCUUGCUAUAGCAAGAAAGUCUUACCUAUUCCAGUGUUCUCUUCCUCAUGAGACAAGCCGUUAUAUAGGCUCAAACAAU